GCUGUACCACCCUGAACCCACUCUUGUCUGGUCUCCAAAGCUAAGCAGGGUUGGGCCUGGUUAGUUCUUACUGGGAGAAUGUCACAUACUGGGGUGAAGAGCAAAGCGUGGAGACUCAGGAGGC
RNAcentral lists this ribosomal RNA (124 nucleotides) under Otolemur garnettii (small-eared galago). The record is from RNAcentral. Lineage: Eukaryota; Metazoa; Chordata; Mammalia; Primates; Galagidae.